Molecule: ribosomal RNA, 429 nt
Filed under: Pseudomonadota bacterium
Lineage: Bacteria; Pseudomonadati; Pseudomonadota
Description: Proteobacteria bacterium partial 16S ribosomal RNA
Rfam family: Bacterial small subunit ribosomal RNA
Source: RNAcentral
UGGGGAAUAUUGGACAAUGGGCGAAAGCCUGAUCCAGCCAUGCCGCGUGUGUGAAGAAGGUCUUCGGAUUGUAAAGCACUUUAAGUUGGGAGGAAGGGCAGUAAGCGAAUACCUUGCUGUUUUGACGUUACCGACAGAAUAAGCACCGGCUAACUCUGUGCCAGCAGCCGCGGUAAUACAGAGGGUGCAAGCGUUAAUCGGAAUUACUGGGCGUAAAGCGCGCGUAGGUGGUUCGUUAAGUUGAAUGUGAAAGCCCCGGGCUCAACCUGGGAAAUGCAUCCAAAACUGGCGAGCUAGAGUAGGGCAGAGGGUGGUGGAAUUUCCUGUGUAGCGGUGAAAUGCGUAGAUAUAGGAAGGAACACCAGUGGCGAAGGCGACCACCUGGGCUCAUACUGACACUGGGGUGCGAAAGCGUGGGGAGCAAACAGG